GAAAAGGUUAAAAUUUUAAAUGCUGGU
RNAcentral lists this non-coding RNA (27 nucleotides) under Rattus norvegicus (Norway rat). Lineage: Eukaryota; Metazoa; Chordata; Mammalia; Rodentia; Muridae. The record is from RNAcentral.